This 765-nucleotide long non-coding RNA is filed under the name Cricetulus griseus (Chinese hamster). RNAcentral's name for it is "lncRNA (ENSCGRG00000025130.1)". The record is from RNAcentral. Lineage: Eukaryota; Metazoa; Chordata; Mammalia; Rodentia; Cricetidae.
GCGCAUUCCUCCCUGUUCCAGGUUCUACGUCGUGGCGUCUGUUUGUAAGAUCUGGAGACAGGUCCCUAGGGUUCCCUGUGCUCCUGUGUAACAGAUUCACGUGGGGUGACUGCAAAGAUGUGUUCAUGGGAAUGUCAGUUCCCUUGUUAGAAGUAUCAGUGGAGCUGAAGGCUGUGCAAUAUACCUGUAAUCCCAGGUUCUCAAGAGUCAGAGCAAGAGAAUUCUCAAGUUUGAGGCUGGUCAAUGUAGCAAGACCCUGCCUCAAAGAGGGUGGGUAAAAGAAAGUGAUGGAGUUGGGGGGGGAAGGGAAGGGAAGGGAAGGGAAGGGAAGGGAAGGGAAGGGAAGGGUGGGGAAGGGUAGGGUAGGGAAGGGCGAAGGGAAGGGAAGGGAAGGGAAGGAAGUUCUAAUUUCCUUUCUGUUGCUAUGAUAAAACCUCUGGCCAAAAGCAACUUGGGGGAUAAAGGGUUUAUUUCAGUUUUUAAUUCUAGAUCAUAAUCCAUCAUUAAGGAUAAUAAGGGAAGAAAUUCAAGGCAGGAACUCCAAGGCAGGCCAACUUGUUCCUCCAUACAGCAUUACCUCCAAACAGGGAACUCUCAGCCACCUCUCCAGCACCAUGGCUGCCUACAUGCCACCUGCUUCCUGCUAUGAUGAUAAAGUAUAAUCCAGGCCCAGUUAAAUGUUUUAUAGGAGCUGCUGUGUCCAUGGUGUCUCUUCACAACAAUAGAAACCCCAAGACACUGUGUUUGUCACUCUCUAGGUUCCUG